CUCCAAAGACACUAGGGCUCUCUGUGCAAAGAAAAAAGAGGCGAGGCGGCUAGGGAAAGACCUUAGCGCCGCCUCCACCAUUGCCCCACCCCCUUUUUCCUCAUCGUAUCCUAUCAUGGGAUAGAGUGUAGAACAUGGAAAAUUAGAGGAGAGGACAAAGCAUUAAUGGCUUCAUCCUUUUCCAUACGUUUUCUCCACAAAAUCCGUCCAAAUGCUCCCUUAAGAAAGGAGGCUCCAAGUCCAUUCUUGCUCUGGUUGCACUCAAAAAAGGUGGUGAAAUUGAACAAGGGGAUGAAGGAAGUGAAGACAUGACUUAGGAGGAUUA
This is a long non-coding RNA of Lycium ferocissimum, 325 nucleotides long. RefSeq lists it as uncharacterized. Lineage: Eukaryota; Viridiplantae; Streptophyta; Magnoliopsida; Solanales; Solanaceae. The record is from RefSeq and is a predicted model, not a curated record. The transcript has 3 exons.